This 492-nucleotide ribosomal RNA is filed under the name uncultured bacterium. RNAcentral's name for it is "partial 16S ribosomal RNA". It matches the Rfam family "Bacterial small subunit ribosomal RNA", at positions 29 to 507 of the family's 1533-position model. The record is from RNAcentral.
AGUGAACGCUGGCGAUAGGCCUAACACAUGCAAGUCGAACGGCAGCACAGUAAGAGCUUGCUCUUACGGGUGGCGAGUGGCGGACGGGUGAGGAAUACAUCGGAAUCUACUUUUUCGUGGGGGAUAACGUAGGGAAACUUACGCUAAUACCGCAUACGACCUACGGGUGAAAGCAGGGGAUCUUCGGACCUUGCGCGAUUGAAUGAGCCGAUGUCGGAUUAGCUAGUUGGCGGGGUAAAGGCCCACCAAGGCGACGAUCCGUAGCUGGUCUGAGAGGAUGAUCAGCCACACUGGAACUGAGACACGGUCCAGACUCCUACGGGAGGCAGCAGUGGGGAAUAUUGGACAAUGGGCGCAAGCCUGAUCCAGCCAUACCGCGUGGGUGAAGAAGGCCUUCGAGUUGUAAAGCCCUUUUGUUGGGAAAGAAAAGCAGCAGGUUAAUACCCCGCUGUUCUGACGGUACCCAAAGAAUAAGCACCGGCUAACUUCGUG